RNAcentral lists this long non-coding RNA (243 nucleotides) under Sorghum bicolor (sorghum). RNAcentral describes it as "long non-coding RNA (SBIC_LNC002892)". Lineage: Eukaryota; Viridiplantae; Streptophyta; Magnoliopsida; Poales; Poaceae. The record is from RNAcentral.
GCACAUAUGUAGGGGGAGCAAUUGCUACCAAUUUGGGUUUAUGAAACUUGUCCAUAACCUUUGCACAUGGUAAAAUGCUUUGACAAGCAACAUGAAUUCAAGAAAAUUUUAUUGAAAAUCUUUGUAAAAAGGGUUGUCAUCAAUUACCAAAAAGGGGGAGAUUGAAAGCCCUAGUUUGGUUUUGGAUAAUUGAUGAAACCCUAGUACUAACCUCUAUACUAAGUAUGUGUAGACUUAAUGAGG